This 119-nucleotide ribosomal RNA is filed under the name Pteropus alecto (black flying fox). RNAcentral also lists the same sequence under 1 other name. Lineage: Eukaryota; Metazoa; Chordata; Mammalia; Chiroptera; Pteropodidae. The record is from RNAcentral.
GUCUAUGGCCAUGCCACCCUGAACAUGCCUGAUCUUGUCUGAUCUAGGAAGCUAAGCCGGGUCGGGCCUGGUUAGUACUUGGAUGGGAGACCACCUAGGAAUACCAGGUGCUGUAGGUG